ACUUCACCUGGAGAGGCGUCCCCGAGGCAAAUUCACGCUCUCUCCGGCGUUUAAUCCGAGGGAACUCGUGGAGUGCUUUAACUUCGCCUUCGCUUUUGUUUUAUCUCCAUUACUCCCUUCGGUUGCCACUGGCGACAACACUACUCGCCCACGCUUCUUACUGGAGGAGGCCUGCCCCUCCGUAGAAUCCCCGCAGAGCCGGCCUGUAACCCCGGCGUUGUCUGCCGCAGCAGGCCUCGUUACGCGCUACCUUGUGACGUCACCAGGGAAGAGGCGGAUUCUCUCCUACUACAGAAAGACGUCUGCUGUUUUGAUUGGCUAGGAAAGACGUCCGUUAGGACGUGUUGCCCUUUCUGUGUAAGCUGUGAGCGUAGGCGGCCCUGAGGGGGUGUGUGGCAGGGGUUUCCAAGCCCAGCACCAGCACCCUUGCCCUUUUCCAUCUGGGGUUCAGCCUAGGGUCCCCCCUGGUGGGCGGCUCCCGAGUCUUGGAGAAGAGCACGAGAACCUAGACCGCCCCCGAAGUGCGGAGACCCCCUGGGCAGGCUGAAAGAUGGCGGCGGCGUCUGUCUCUGCGGCUUCUGGUUCUCACUUGUCGAACAGCUUUGCUGAGCCAUCAAGGUCUAAUGGAAGCAUGGUUCGGCAUUCUUCAUCUCCAUAUGUAGUAUAUCCUUCGGAUAAGCCUUUCCUUAAUAGUGAUCUACGACGCUCCCCAAGUAAGCCUACACUUGCCUAUCCAGAAAGCAACAGCAGAGCCAUAUUUUCUGCUCUUAAGAAUCUUCAAGAUAAGAUUCGACGCUUGGAACUUGAGAGGAUUCAGGCAGAAGAAAGUGUGAAAACCUUGUCUAGAGAAACAAUUGAAUAUAAGAAAGUACUGGAUGAACAGAUACAAGAGAGGGAGAAUUCAAAGAAUGAGGAAUCAAAGCACAAUCAAGAACUGACAUCUCAGUUGUUAGCUGCAGAAAAUAAAUGCAAUCUAUUAGAAAAACAACUGGAAUACAUGCGAAAUAUGAUAAAGCAUGCCGAAAUGGAGAGGACAUCUGUCUUAGAGAAACAAGUUUCCCUAGAAAGAGAACGACAACAUGAUCAAACACAUGUUCAGAGCCAACUUGAAAAAUUGGAUCUUCUUGAACAGGAGUAUAACAAACUUACCACAAUGCAGGCCCUUGCAGAAAAAAAAAUGCAAGAGUUGGAAGCAAAACUCCAUGAAGAAGAACAGGAAAGGAAACGCAUGCAAGCUAAGGCAGCUGAGUUGCAGACUGGUCUAGAAACAAAUAGACUUAUCUUUGAAGAUAAGGCAACUCCGUGUGUUCCCAAUGCAAGAAGAAUUAAAAAAAAGAAGUCAAAACCACCAGAAAAGAAAAGUUCUAGGAACUAUUUUGGUGCACAACCACAUUAUAGAUUAUGCUUGGGUGAUAUGCCAUUUGUAGCUGGGAAGUCCACAAGCCCUAGCCAUGCCGUGGUAGCCAAUGUUCAGCUUGUCUUGCAUCUAAUGAAGCAACACAGUAAAGCUUUGUGCAAUGAUCGAGUCAUCAACAGUAUUCCUUUGGCAAAGCAAGUGUCUUCACGAGGUGGUAAAAGUAAGAAGUUGUCAGUAACACCUCCCUCCUCCAACGGUAUUAAUGAGGAGUUGUCAGAAGUCUUACAGACUUUACAGGAUGAAUUUGGGCAAAUGAGCUUUGAUCACCAGCAGCUUGCAAAACUUAUCCAGGAGUCGCCAACCGUUGAACUGAAAGACAAGUUGGAGUGUGAAUUGGAGGCAUUAGUGGGAAGGAUGGAAGCAAAAGCCAACCAAAUAACUAAAGUUCGAAAAUACCAAGCCCAGCUGGAGAAACAGAAGUUAGAGAAGCAGAAGAAGGAAUUAAAAGCUACCAAAAAGACUCUUGAUGAAGAAGGAAACAGCAGCAGCCGUUCUGGAAUCACAGGGACCACAAAUAAGAAAGAUUUUAUGAAACUGAGACCUGGAGAAAAAAGGAGAAAAAAUCUUCAGUUAUUGAAGGACAUGCAAAGCAUACAGAAUUCAUUACAAAGCAGUAGUUUGUGUUGGGAUUACUGACUCAUAACCAGGUCAUUAAAUUGUAUAACCAUCAUUUGAAUUGUAGUGGCUCUCAGUCCUAAUUAGGAGAAUGGUGAUUGAAUGAUGCUAAAUCCCACCCCAUUUCUCAGCUAGGAUUCAAACUGAACUACUCCAGCUUUUUGUACUGUCAGAUUUGGUCAACUGAACCAAAAUUUCAGUUUCCACGAUGCUAAUAUUUAUUCUGCUGGAACAAUCAGCUACAGCUAACUGCCAAUUCUUCAGUCUGAAUAACUUGUUCAGGUGGAGGACGGUCAGAAGAGGGCACCACUAGUCACCGAGAACACUAGUUCGCUAUUCCUAGAGCAGUACUCUACAGGGACUUCAGUGAGUCAUAAGCUCAGUUAGUUGUCAACUUUGGAGAAGUGGGAAGCUAAGAAUAACUGAACACCUAGUUAUUAUAGAUCAUGACAAUGGAGAAAAGAAGAUAAAUACAAGAAAUUCUUAGACACUGACUGGAUGUUAAGAGUCCAGAAAAGAAAAAAAGAGCAGUCUAGUACGACAACCAGAUUUCUGACUUGAGUAAAUGGACAGCUGGUAUUGAUGUCAACUGAGAGAGAGAAUGCAAGAAAAAGAGUAAGUUUGGAGUUAAAUGUGAUGAUUUCCAUUUUGGAGAUGUUGGGUAUAAGGUUCCUAUGGGAUACUCAAGGAUGUGUGUUUAAGAUAGAGGCAUUUGUUUACUUACAUUAGGACAGGGGUUCACACUGGAGAUACAAAUUUUGGAGUCAUCAGCCAAUAUAUGGCAAGUGAUGUUACAAAUUUAGAUAUGGUCAACCGAAAAGAGUAUACAGGAGGGAAAAGGGAAAUGGGUCAAGGAUGAGGUCCUAGGGCGUGUUGCUAUUAAAGGAAGAAAAGCCAACAAAUGAGACUGAGUGGUAACUUGAAGUUCUUUAAUAAAGCCAUAUUUCAUAAUGGGAGCUGCAAUUACGGCAUUAAGUUCAGAAUAAGAAAAAGAAAUUGUCACAAUGCUAGAUAUAACCUUAUUAGCUAGGUUAUCUUCCUAUGCCUUAGUUUCCUUCCUCACCUAUAAAAUGGGGUUGAUGUUAUUCUCAAGAAUAUACUCUCUGAGAAUGACUGAGAUAGUAAGCACUCAAUAAUAAUAAUUACUAUCAUUAUAUAAUAGCCAAUUCUGAAAAAAUGUAAGUAGGUAGUUCAGAUCAAGAGCUUGGUGUAUAUAUAAGGCUAACUGGGGAAAAGAAAAAGACUGAGAGGUUAUUCAAUCAAGAGCCAAGAGCAAGAAAAGACAAAUAGCAUGCUAAGGACUAGGAAGCUAAAUUUAGUAAAUAAUAAUCCAUUUAGAAUACAGGUCCUGCCUUUGGCUUGUUUUUACACAUAGAAAUGACACCUAGCCAAGUAAAAUUCAGCAUUUUUAAAAUCCUUUUUAAAAAUUAUGAUUGGUAACAAAAUGAAAGAUGGUAGUUAUAUUAACUAAGAAAUCAUUUACUUCAUUCUUCUAACAUAUUACUUUAUUUCUCGGAGUUUAUGAGUAGAUAUCUGUAGAUUAUCACACAGAUGAAACAAAACAAAAGCAUGAGGAAAAAAACACAGCUUGUAAGCUCAUCUUCAGUUUCCAGUCCAUAUUAUAAGUAUUAGGCUGGGCAGAGAAGGGCAUCUACAUACAAACAGAUGCAAUGGAGAUGAUGUAUUUCAUCCAAAAAUUAACCUGACUUUAUUCAGAGAAGAAAGACAUGAAGGAAGC
Pan troglodytes (chimpanzee) is the source of this 3770-nucleotide RNA transcript. It is a transcript of the gene named centrosomal protein 57, with no coding region annotated. The transcript has 14 exons. Lineage: Eukaryota; Metazoa; Chordata; Mammalia; Primates; Hominidae. The record is from RefSeq and is a predicted model, not a curated record.